GAGUUUGAUCCUGGCUCAGAACGAACGCUGGCGGCGUGCCUAACACAUGCAAGUCGAACGUGAUCCAGAGCUUGCUCUGGUGAAAGUGGCGCACGGGUGAGUAACGCGUGGAUAACCUACCCUGGUAUCCGGGAUAACAUUCCGAAAGGGGUGCUAAUACCGGAUAAGCCCACGGGCUCUUUGGAGCUUGCGGGAAAAGGUGGCCUCUAUUUAUAAGCUACUGUAUCAGGAUGGGUCCGCGUACCAUUAGUUAGUUGGCGGUGUAACGGACCACCAAGGCGACGAUGGUUAGCUGGUCUGAGAGGAUGAUCAGCCACACUGGAACUGAGACACGGUCCAGACUCCUACGGGAGGCAGCAGUGGGGAAUUUUGCGCAAUGGGGGAAACCCUGACGCAGCAACGCCGCGUGAGUGAUGAAGGCCUUUGGGUCGUAAAGCUCUGUCAGAGGGGAAGAAAUGAUAUAGUGCUAAUACCACUUUAUCUUGACGGUACCCUCAAAGGAAGCACCGGCUAUCUCCGUGCCAGCAGCCGCGGUAAUAC
Molecule: ribosomal RNA, 540 nt
Filed under: uncultured Geobacteraceae bacterium
Lineage: Bacteria; Pseudomonadati; Thermodesulfobacteriota; Desulfuromonadia; Geobacterales; Geobacteraceae
Description: bacterial SSU rRNA
Rfam family: Bacterial small subunit ribosomal RNA
Source: RNAcentral